AUGUGGUUGGCGGUCCACCGGAAGUGUCUCACGGCGGACAAUCUUGAGCGAAGGGGUUGGCCAUCCAACGGCAUUUGCCCGCUUUGUGCGCAGGAGCCGGAAAACUGCUCACAUUUGUUUGUAAAUUGCAGAUUUACACAACAGCUCUGGUGGAGCUUCAGAACCUGGACGGGGGCUAAUUUCCAGGUGCCCAGCGAGCAUUUUGGCACGACGGAAGACUGGUGGCUGAAGGCGAGGGCGGCAAUCCCGAAACCGUUACGGAGGAAUUUCGACACGAUCGCUAUCCUGAUACACUGGAGGAUAUGGAAGGAGAGAAACGCGAGAAUUUUUGAUAAUGUAGCCAACACCGUAGACAGGGUGCUGGAGUUAAUUAAGGAAGACAUUAGAAUGUGGCGGGCUGCAGGUUGCAUCUACGACCUGCCGGCAAACGCCUAA
This 435-nucleotide ribosomal RNA is filed under the name Triticum aestivum (bread wheat). Its description in RNAcentral is "partial small subunit ribosomal RNA". The record is from RNAcentral. Lineage: Eukaryota; Viridiplantae; Streptophyta; Magnoliopsida; Poales; Poaceae.